RNAcentral lists this long non-coding RNA (857 nucleotides) under Elaeis guineensis (African oil palm). Its description in RNAcentral is "long non-coding RNA (EGUI_LNC078552)". The record is from RNAcentral. Lineage: Eukaryota; Viridiplantae; Streptophyta; Magnoliopsida; Arecales; Arecaceae.
UGGGUUGGUUAUCUUCUUAAUCAAGGAGUGUAGUGAUACUGGUAUGGCAUACAGGUGAGAUGUAAUGAUACAUCAUCACGGAACAAGUGACUCAUCUGCUGAGCGUUCUGCUGUCAAAAGUUGCUCGCGAAACACAUGGGUAUAAAUGUCCUUCAGAUCUGAGAUCACUAUAGUGACUUGCAAGCAACUCACUAUGCUUUGGUGCUGAACUACCUGAAUUUUUAAUGCAGUGACGGAAGGCUACUGGGUACAAUCAAGUACUUACGAAGUCUGUGUGUGUAUCAAGAUGAAAUUGAUCCCUCCAAAUUAUUGGAGUUGAUGUAUCGCUGUAUUUCAAUUUAGUAAAGCCUUGGCCAGGAUAAUCCAUGAGAUGGAUUUGAAAAAUUAAAAUACAAUAUGGAUAAAGCAAUCUUGGUUGACAGUUAACCUGAGACCAUCUUAGAGCAUCCAGAGUCAGAAUGAUGAAUUAUGAGGUAAUCAUGAGUAUGGGUUCUGAAAUAUUUCUUUGUGAUAAUUCGACCUAUCUGGAUGUCGGAAACUAUUGCUAGAUGGUAUCUCGAUUAGUGCAAAAAUUGGUUCAUGUACUACCGGCUUAGUGUUUGAACCUAUGGAGUCACACACAAGUCAAACAAAGUAGGAAAGAAUUGACCUAUGUUUAUAUAUCCAAUCUGGAAGUACUUAACUUGAUUGAACAUAUCAGCUAACUUGAUUGAGAAUUGAGUUAUGGGUCAAAUGGGAUUGAAGAGUUGACUCUGUCUAGCUAGCACUACACAUGAGAUUCAGGUUCAAUCCUGGGGAUGAACAAUUUCUAUCUAUGAUCCAUGAAACAUAUGAAAGAUUGAAUUUAAGUACUAAUU